Molecule: long non-coding RNA, 1020 nt
Filed under: Ananas comosus (pineapple)
Lineage: Eukaryota; Viridiplantae; Streptophyta; Magnoliopsida; Poales; Bromeliaceae
Description: long non-coding RNA (ACOM_LNC020940)
Source: RNAcentral
AAUCAGGCUCUCACAGGCUAUAAUCAAGUAAACAGGGUCCAACUGGUCUAACAACCAAAACUCACGUUCCCUCGGCACAAUCUGAUGCAAAACCUGCAAUCUGGGUCCACCGUCAACCCCGACGGCACCCGACAGUCCGAAACAGUCUAGACACUGCUGUAAAAAUAAGCUCGGCAUCUCCACACGAGUGUAACUGUAUUCUACACUAUCUCGGAAAUCUACCGCCAACAACUGCGGUGAUACAACUCAAUUACAGCUCCUAAGCUUUCAGUGUAUCAAAUGCGCACCAACAGCGUGGAUACAAAGCACAACAGCUUCAGAAGCUAUCUGAGUAUCAAAUACGCACUAACAGCGGGGAUACGAAGCACAACAGCUUCAGAAGCUAUCUGAGUAUCAAAUGCGCACUAAUAGCGUGGAUACGAAGCAAAACAGCUUCAUGAGCGAACAGAAAAGAUAGUGUAGAACCUACAGUUGAAUACUACCCAAGCUCGGCAUCUCGCACGAGCGUAAAUGCAUUCUAAACUACCAAGAAUAUCCACCACACUCAACCUGCGAUGAUACAAUCAACUACGGCUCCUAGAGCUAAAUCUGGUACUUUAAGUAUAUGUCGAUUAGAAUCGCGGGUUUUCUCCUAAGUCAAAUUCCAAGUCCAACAUGUGUAAAUUAAUAAUUCGUUUCAGCAUGCUUCAAAUUCAGAUUACAGCCAAGAUGCUAAUCGAUAAAUUUAAGCUAAACACAUGCUAUACUAUAGUCGAAAAUCAUACACAUCGACUAAACAUGCACUUAGGAGUAACACCGAUGAUUAACCCACCUCGAGUGCUAAUCCACGGCAACACGAGGUCACGAAGAUGAAGGAAACCUUGCUGGAACCAGCCGAAACCACCUAGGGACAGCAAUCAACCGACUUCAAGGAUCUGAACAUCAACAAUCCCAAAACUUGCAUUAUAAAUUCCAAAAUCAGCACUUAAGCUAAAAACCCUCAAUUAUAAUGCUAACUUCACCUUCCAAAUCUCAAAUCAA